AACGUUAGAGUCAUUGUGAGGAAAUAAAUCCUCAAGUUUAGUCUUGGGAGCCAAUCAAAAUAGUACUAAAAUGCGUCAUGUGAGAGUUGUCACAUAUUGCUAGGAUAGAUAAAAUCAGGGAACACAUGUUACAUUAAGAUUUUCCAUGGAGCCUGAGAUAAGCAAUUUACAGCACAGAGAAGAUGCCAUUGUAAUCACGGGUCUCUUCAUACAGCUGAUACCGAGAAAGACAGAAAGAAAAGAGUGGAAAACUCUACGGAUCCGCUACCGGAACGACUGCAGGUGGAGGCGGGGCGUACUGGGAGAGAU
Long non-coding RNA from Ornithorhynchus anatinus (platypus), 309 nucleotides. RefSeq lists it as uncharacterized. NCBI's taxonomy places the organism in Eukaryota, Metazoa, Chordata, Mammalia, Monotremata, Ornithorhynchidae. The record is from RefSeq and is a predicted model, not a curated record. The transcript is spliced from 3 exons.